UUUAAAUACAACCAUGAGUUUAUAUGCUUAAAUUUGAUCGUCUGUCUUAUUUUGAUUUUUUUUAUAAUUAGUAUUUUUAUUGUUAUGAGAUGAUAAAACACGAAUAAAAUACUUUAUACGUGACUUACGUUUUUAAUUUUUUUAAAAAAAAAAUUCAAAUAAGACAGACGAUCAAAGUUGGGCAAAAAAAAAUUAUGGCUACACUUACA
Molecule: non-coding RNA, 209 nt
Organism: Oryza nivara
Lineage: Eukaryota; Viridiplantae; Streptophyta; Magnoliopsida; Poales; Poaceae
Source: Rfam